CCAGACUCCUACGGGAGGCAGCAGUGGGGGAUAUUGCACAAUGGGGGGAACCCUGAUGCAGCGACGCCGCGUGGGUGAAGAAGCGCCUCGGCGCGUAAAGCCCUGUCGGCAGGGAAGAAAAUGACGGUACCUGAGGAAUAAGCCACGGCUAACUACGUGCCAGCAGCCGCGGUAAUACGUAGGUGGCAAGCGUUAUCCGGAUUUACUGGGUGUAAAGGGCGCGCAGCCGGAGAGACAAGUCAGAUGUGAAAUCCCCGGGCUCAACCCGUGAACUGCAUUUGAAACUGUUUGCCUGGAGUGUGGGAGAGGUAGGCGGAAUUCCUUGUGUAGCGGUGAAAUGCGUAGAUAUAAGGAAGAACACCAGUGGCGGAGGCGGAUUACUGGAC
Molecule: ribosomal RNA, 386 nt
Filed under: uncultured bacterium
Lineage: Bacteria
Description: partial 16S ribosomal RNA
Rfam family: Bacterial small subunit ribosomal RNA
Source: RNAcentral